Non-coding RNA from Python bivittatus (Burmese python), 2564 nucleotides. Lineage: Eukaryota; Metazoa; Chordata; Lepidosauria; Squamata; Pythonidae. The record is from RefSeq and is a predicted model, not a curated record.
CACCGGGCAAGGCAGACGCGAGGUCUCAGCGACCGCCCCAGCCGGGCGAAGGUCGGGGAGCGGCGCACCUCUGCUUUGACGGACUGGCGCUGCUGCAGCCGCUGCGGAGAGGAGCUCCGAGGGCAGCAAGCGACGCCCGAGCCCGCAUCGCCAACCUGGCCGGGCUCCUUUCUUUCCUGCUUGAGCUCCCUCCAGCGUCGCCGGAGUUAAGAGACUGAAACUACCGCGGAAGACGCCGAGCCAAGAAAAAGAGAGCGAAAGGAGCGCGAGAGAGACCCCCUCGCGUAACCUCCUCCCUUUUCGUCGGACCACGUGACCCCCCUUCUCCCAUCCCCUGUUUGCUGGGGCGGGGAGAGGAAAGAAACUUUAUGGAGAGAGGUGGGAGCCGUCACGCUCCGGCACAGACGACGCUUCGCCUCGAGACACCUUCUCGGAGCAGCGAGGAAGGGAAAGCAGGCCGACCUUCCCGAAUCCCGCCUCGCCGCGAAGGCUUGGUGCGCCUCAGCUCAUGAAUAUGAGGAAAAGCAGAUCAACUCAUUCACACGAACAAAAUAUCUCAGUUUAUCCUGGAAUGAAGCCAUUUCAAUGCCAUUCAAAGCAUAGCCAAAUCAGCUGUGUCUACUCUCUAUGAUCUACAUUGCUUCAUGUACUUCAUAAGGAAAAUCAAGGGCUACAAAACUGUUGAUUCAGUAAACAAGAGUCAUGUUCUUUGAUAAUCCAACAAGAUCAAGAAGACCUAAGUUUAAAUCACUUAUGAGCCAAAAAUCUCCCUGGAGGAACAUCUUUUAGCCUAGGGAACAUUUCUCACCAAAUGAAACAGGAGAUGGUGGGAACCAUAUGAAAGGUGAGAUAUAAAUGAAUACAUACAGUAUGAGUGUACAUAUGCAUUCAUGUGGUCUGAGACUGGAUGGUUUCCCCCAUGAUCGCCUUCUAGGAGGUCAAUUUUUCAGAUAGUAACUGUAAUGAAUAUUUUGUCUAAUUAAUUGAAGGACUGAACAAUGUUGGCCCUGGGUGUUCAGAACUUCUGUACCCAAUGUCCAGGACAGAGUUCAUUUGGGAAAAAAAUAAUAGAUGCUAAAACUUAUUUUACAUAACAGAAGAGAUUAUGGAUUUUGACAUUAGCUUCAAAUGCUAUGAUAUGUGCUGUCUCUACCUUUUAAUGGGGGAGAUGCUAUUUACAGUCAUAGCAUAUAAUUCUACAGGUUACUGCAAAGUAGCUCAGAUUAGUUACAAGCAUAUGCUCAGAUUUUCUCAUUUAACACACACACACACACACACAAACAUGCACAUAUAUACAGUGAAUUUCAGAAUACCAGCUUGAUUCAGUGUUCACAAAGACUUUCCUAGCCAUAUAUAAAUUAUUCUGAGGAAAGAAAGUGCUUAAAAGUUUAUUUCAUUCUUUCCUGCAGCCUGCGUGAGAUUUUUCAAUCUGGACAUCAAUAAAUACUAAUGAUGCAUGCAGAAAAAGGAAGUACACCACACAUAUCCCUGAAGUUAGGAAAAGAUAAAAGCAUUUAAGGAAAAAGAAAGAGAGAGAGAGAGAGAAAGAGAGAAAAUUCAUACAGUAUUUACACUAGGAAGCUUUCUGCUCUUGCUCUUUUUAAUGGAAGUUCCAUUCAACAGAACUUUUAACAGAACUGUAAAAAAGUUAAUUAUUCAGACCCUUCCUCUUGAUAAUGGCCAUACUGUGCUGAUAAAAAGCCAGGACUGAUAUGCAUCUCCUCAUAAUGGAUAUGCUCACACUAUUUUCUUCUUACACAGCUAAGCACAAAUUUAAAAUACAUUCGCAUACAUACACACAUAUGCACACAUUGUUUGUAUAUAUUGUCAUGUGCUGUGACUUUAUUCAACUUUAUUAAAAAAAAAUAUCUAGGCAACUGGAAACAUUGACAGCAAAGGCUAUAUCAUCUCCAAACCUGCCAUCCUGACCAAAAGAGUUAUGAACUAAUUUAAACAUCAUAAAUCAAGUAAUUAAAGCUUCAAACUAAAAAAGAAAUUAUGUUACAUAAAAGCUCCUGUCACUAGUAGGUAAUUUUCAUGCUUGAAAUGAAAUUCCUAAUGUUACUUUAAUGCUGAAUUUUGAACAUCAGUGUAACUUAAAUGUGUAUCUUAAUCAGAGUGGCUUAUCUGCCCUCUAUACAGCAAAUGUCUAGCUUCUAGUUUUAAAACAUUUUUUUCUUUCUGUUAAUUUGCAUUAUGAUAAUUUUAUAUCCUUAAGUGAGGGAUGGAGAAGCUGAUGAAAUUAUACAUUUUUAUGUCUGUCAUGGAUUUUACAGCUUCUAUUAAAUAAUGUACCCUUCUUAUACAUUUAUUCCUUUUAAAUUCUUCAACUAUUGAAAAAUAUUAAUGUUCAGCUGUCAGAAAUGAAAGCUAGAACUGAAUAACAUUUUUUUCCCAAUGAAUGUUCAGUUAUUUAGACUUCAACCAUAUUAGCUGUGGAACCUAAAAUUUUAAAGGAGUCAGUAAGCUUUAUCUUCAAACCAUCUUUUUGACAAUAAACAUGAUUUAGCUUAGUCCUAAUGCAUCUUUUUCCAUGUUGAAAAUAUAAUCUACACUGAAUUGCA